Molecule: ribosomal RNA, 276 nt
Filed under: uncultured Staphylococcus sp.
Lineage: Bacteria; Bacillati; Bacillota; Bacilli; Caryophanales; Staphylococcaceae
Description: partial 16S ribosomal RNA
Rfam family: Bacterial small subunit ribosomal RNA
Source: RNAcentral
CUGACGUUAGCGGCGGACGGGUGAGUAACACGUGGGUAACCUACCUAUAAGACUGGGAUAACUCCGGGAAACCGGGGCUAAUACCGGAUAACACAUGAAACCGCAUGGUUUCAUGAUGAAAGACGGUUUUGCUGUCACUUAUAGAUGGACCCGCGGCGUAUUAGCUAGUUGGUAAGGUAACGGCUUACCAAGGCAACGAUACGUAGCCGACCUGAGAGGGUGAUCGGCCACACUGGAACUGAGACACGGUCCAGACUCCUACGGGAGGCAGCAGCG